GCUUUCUUUGCCUCAGUCAGUAGAGCAUGGAGUUUGCGGCACCCGAGGUCAUGGGUUCAAUUCCCACCAUAACGCA
Non-coding RNA from Danionella cerebrum, 76 nucleotides. Lineage: Eukaryota; Metazoa; Chordata; Actinopteri; Cypriniformes; Danionidae. The record is from the annotation of a GenBank genome assembly.